AUGCCUUCAGCACAGCUGAAACUGGAGAGUAAGCUGCAUGUAGGGUUUUUGUAUGAGCCUAUAUCACAGUGUUGGGUGUUCGGUGGAGGCACCAAAGUGACUGUCCUAGGUCAGCCCAAUGCGGCACCUUCAGUCACCCUGUUUCCACCUUCCUCUGAGGAGCUCAAGACUAACCAGGCCACACUGGUGUGUAUGAUCAGUGGCUUUUAUCCAGCUGAUGUGACAGUGGCUUGGGAGGCAGAUGGUACCCCUAUCACCCAGGGCGUGAAGACCACUCAGCCUUCCAAAAGUGACAACAAGUACAUGGCUACCAGCUACCUGACCAUGACAGCAGGAGCAUGGAAAUCUAAAAACACUUUCAUCUGCAAGGUCACUCAUGGAGAGAACACUGUGGAGAAGAGUUUGUCCCCUUCAGCAUGUUCCUAG
Cricetulus griseus (Chinese hamster) is the source of this 426-nucleotide non-coding RNA. The record is from the annotation of a RefSeq genome assembly. NCBI's taxonomy places the organism in Eukaryota, Metazoa, Chordata, Mammalia, Rodentia, Cricetidae.